This is a long non-coding RNA of Girardinichthys multiradiatus, 2252 nucleotides long. RefSeq lists it as uncharacterized. The record is from RefSeq and is a predicted model, not a curated record. The transcript has 4 exons. NCBI's taxonomy places the organism in Eukaryota, Metazoa, Chordata, Actinopteri, Cyprinodontiformes, Goodeidae.
UCUUCACAAAAAAAAAUAGAAUUUUAUAUCUUUAUGUUUGAAGCCUGAAAUGUGGCAAGAGGUUGACCAGUUCCAGGGGGUCCGAGUACUUUAUGGUUUGUAAUUCAUUUCACCUUUUAUUCAUGGUUGUUUCUAUUAUUUAUGUAUCCUUCCUAAUAUUAUUUCACUAGAGGCACAUCUUUACCAUGUCCUGCCCAAUUGAUCUCAUUGACUCCCAUUAUAACCACAUAUUUCUGUCGUAAAACAGUAAACGCUUUGUUACUUGGUAGAAACGACUCACCUCCACCAUGUUUAUAGUGGUGAGUCGGUCAAUAAGACCGAUACAAGUCUGCUUAGAAAUUGAGUUUUGUCUGUGAAAGAAGCUCUAAAAAUUACUUUAACCCAGUAGGCCCCUUGGGGGACCAAACAUGUGCUUUCUGCUUGUUUUUUUUUUUUUUUACAUUCUCAAUAUUUUAGACAGUUUAAAGGUCAGUUCUAUAAAACUUGGCCAGGAUUUGCUUUUAACUUUUAUUUUUUGUUUGUUUAUCCUUUUGAUUGCAAGGUAUGUAGAGCAAGAGCUAUGGAUUUAGCAUACAUUCUUUAUAUUUGUUACCAAUUUGGUCCCAUUGACUCUCAUUAUGACCAAAUAUUUUUGAUGCAUUGUAAUCUUGGCAUUUUAUAAUACCUUUCCCAUGAGCACCAAAAUAAUCUAUGACUCUACCUUCAUAAUACAUAAUAAUAAUUCAUAAUAAUACUCAAAUUUCUACAAACAAAUACGGAGUAUGUGUAGAAUUUGGUGGAUAGAGAUUAAUACAAUUUGGAAAGAGGCUGUAACUUAACAAAAUAUGAAGCGCUGUGAAUACUUUCCUGAUGCUCUGUUCCAGAAAGCAGGUGUUGGAUGAUGCUGUGAUCAAUCUUAUUGUAAAAGAUUCACAGCCCUUUACUGUUGUGGAAGACGAGGCGUUCAGGGAACUUGUUCAUUUGCUGGAUCCCUCCUAUGUUCUCCCUACUAGAAAAGGCAUUAAAGAAGAUGGUGGAGGAAAAAUAUGAAAAAAGCAAAAGGCCAAAGAGGACAUGCAGAAGAUGUCUUCUGUGAGCCUGACAGCAGAUAUGUAGACAUCAAUAAAUAUGGAGGUGUACCUGGCAAUAACAUGCCACUUCGUUGAUGCAGAUGACAAACUGGGCAUUGUGCUGCUUGGAGUUGAACAUUUCCCUCAGAGUCACACAUCCGAAAAUCUGGCAAGGGUAGUUCAUACCCACAUGGAGGAGUGGGGAAUAACUAAUGAGGUUACUUGCCUAGUCACUGAUGCUGCAUCAAACAUGGUUGCAUGUGUUAAGGCCUUAAGGAUCAGGUUCUCUGUGUGCAUUGCUCAUGCACUGAAUUUGUUGGUAAGAAAAUCAUUUGACCAGGUCCCUGUUCUCUGUGACGUUCGGAAAAAUGGCAACGAAUUGUAACAUAUUUUCACUCAACCACCAAAGGUAAAGAAAAGCUAGAAGUAGUACAGAUACAGAUAGGAAGACAGUCACAAAAGCUUGUCACUGAUGUGGACACAAGCUGGAAUAGCAUAACCUCACUAUCUUGUCAGGAGUAUCAAACAAUUGAGGAGUGCUUACCUGUAUUAUUCCCUUUUUACCAGACAACAUUAGAGCUCCCACAAGAGAAAAGUGUCUCAAUCUCAAAGAUAACCCUUAAUGAACAUUCUGCACCAUGCAGUACUUGCAAAAUCAGUAAAUAUCACCAGUGUUUCUAAACUUCUUUCAGACAACCUUUUAAGACAUGUCAGAGAACAUGUGGCAAGUAUAGAAUCCCUAAGCAUAAUGACAGUGGCCACAUUACUUGACCCCAGGUUUAAAACUCUUGGCUUUCUCAGCCAAAACAAGGUACAAGAGGCAGUACGGCGGCUAAAAUCUGAAUAUACGGCCCUAAUAGCCAGCAGUGAAGCUUCACUUCCACAUCCAUCAGAUGCAGGAGAAGGCACCAACAACUCUAGUGAACUGUGGUGUCUGCUAGAUGAAACAGUGGACCAGAAGAGACAAAGCUUCAAUACCACAGCAGAUGCCAUACCAGAGGUGGAGCAAUACCUGGCAGAACAUAAAAAUCAUAUCACAUAAAAGAAGACUAUUACCACAGAUGUCAGCAUAUUAGCAGAAUUAUUUUGGGUAUAAAUCAUUUUAAGAACUAAAAAUAAAUGACACAUGGGUUUGAAAAAAAACUUUAUUGUGACAAUACUGCAAACACUGCAAUAUUCUGAUAUUUGAAGUAUGAAGGCUGU